This 524-nucleotide ribosomal RNA is filed under the name uncultured bacterium. Its description in RNAcentral is "bacterial SSU rRNA". It matches the Rfam family "Bacterial small subunit ribosomal RNA", at positions 984 to 1509 of the family's 1533-position model. The record is from RNAcentral.
ACAUCCAGAGAACUUAGCAGAGAUGCUUUGGUGCCUUCGGGAACUCUGAGACAGGUGCUGCAUGGCUGUCGUCAGCUCGUGUUGUGAAAUGUUGGGUUAAGCCCCGNAACGAGCGCAACCCUUAUCCUUUGUUGCCAGCGGUUCGCCGGGAACUCAAAGGAGACUGCCGGUGAUAAACCGGAGGAAGGUGGGGAUGACGUCAAGUCAUCAUGGCCCUUACGGCCAGGGCUACACACGUGCUACAAUGGCGCAUACAAAGAGAAGCGACCUCGCGAGAGCAAGCGGACCUCAUAAAGUGCGUCGUAGUCCGGAUUGGAGUCUGCAACUCGACUCCAUGAAGUCGGAAUCGCUAGUAAUCGUAGAUCAGAAUGCUACGGUGAAUACGUUCCCGGGCCUUGUACACACCGCCCGUCACACCAUGGGAGUGGGUUGCAAAAGAAGUAGGUAGCUUAACCUUCGGGAGGGCGCUUACCACUUUGUGAUUCAUGACUGGGGUGAAGUCGUAACAAGGUAAGCGUAGCGAG